Venturia canescens is the source of this 956-nucleotide long non-coding RNA. RefSeq lists it as uncharacterized. NCBI's taxonomy places the organism in Eukaryota, Metazoa, Arthropoda, Insecta, Hymenoptera, Ichneumonidae. The transcript is spliced from 2 exons. The record is from RefSeq and is a predicted model, not a curated record.
UACAUUUGAAAUUCUUACACCACGUGGUUUUUCUCUUGUUAGAUUUUCAGCUCCUCCUUUUUUCUUCCGAUUUCAAACUUUCUGUAAGGAUGUGCUUUCGCCAAAUAAUAAUUUGUUCAAUAUUUUAUCGUAACAAAACACUGAAUGGUCAAGGCUAAGAUACGAAAGAAGUUCCAUACCAAAUUUCAGCUAGAUUGAAGGUAACAGCUAUGCGAAAGUACAGCCUUUCGAAUUGAAACUGUUUUGGUUAAAAAUUAUUGAGAAAAGGAAAAUGAAAAUCAAGUUCCGACGCGCAUCAAUACGCGUUUGCUUAUUCCGGAUUAGAUUCGUAUUUGUAAAUGUGCGCCUGAAAUUUUUAUCGCGAACUAAAACUCUUGGAUGAAAACUACAUUUUGCGUCCUGCUCGCACACAGUGCCAAAACUUGACCUACCUCCCUCCAAUCGGCUCCGAAAAGUUCGUUUCGCGGAAAGUUUUUGCUUUUUUUUUGUUUUCAAAAUAUUUCUUUUAAUCUUAUUUUUUUCCAAAUAUCUAGAGCCCUCGAUUCCGUCAUUGAACUUAAAUUUAAAGUAAUAUUAACAUGAAGUGGAUGCAUACCUUCGGGUUUCAUUGUGUGCCAUUCUUCGCUGGUUAAUGAUACGGUAAAAACUUGUCCAUUUUCGCGUUCACUUUCAGAAGUUUCAGAAUCUACUUCAGACUCGUAGGAUUCUUCUAAAGUAGAACCAUUAUCGGAUUCUUCAGUCGUGCAAUUGUUGUACGACGGAAUCGAAAUGCCCAUUUCACUUCGUGCAAUUAUUCAAUUCAUCCGGAUCCACGAAACCAUCGGAUUUUCAUCUGAAUCAAACUCACCGCCGUUACUACCAGUUUAUUUCUGUAAGAAAAAUCGUAUGACUGGAUUUGAAUAAUUACGGCUCACGUUGGCACUACAGAGGGUCAAAUAAAUUAUAAAAGAAAUUAA